CAUGGAGGAGAAAGCUUGAGGAGUAUGACAGACUCAUGAAGAAGACUCCUGGGGAGAGAGAAUCAUUGCUGUGAGGCUAAAAUCCCUCACCAACAGGAAGUAACUUUGAACAGAGUACACACUUCCUUCUCACACCACCCAAAUGGAGCAGCAUUCAAGAAUGACACCAUGCAGGAGGGAGCGUUUGAGGAGUAGGUUCUCUUCUUAGUUUGCUGCAGCGGACUCUGUAAUGUGAAAGAAAGCUAGUACUAAGCACAAGCCAAUUUUUCUGAGCUAAAAUAAUCCACCUCAAACAAGAACAUCUGCAAACCUAACCCUGGUGUUGAAAUUCAUCUCAGAUCCUUCACAAAAUGAAAGUAACCCAACAUUUAGAAAGACUAUCUCUCCACACUAUAAAGACUUUCCAAAUCCAGGAAUAUCCUUCCACAUGGACAUUUAUCAAGAGGAAUCUGUACCAUGAGAUCUGAGAAAGCUGUAGCCUGCUUUUCCACAUUUACACUUUCAAAGGGAGUAUAGUUGUGUUUUCACUUUGAGUCUUUAAAAAUGAAAAAUGCUGGUUUUGCUCAAAAUGAUAUGUACUACGGGUCUUCUGGGUGUCCUUUUAUUUUUUUAUUCUUUUGGCUAAGAGCUGGAGUCAUAAGCCUUUCUUGUGUGAAGUAUAUGGAUAAACCCCCUGUCACACGCUGUACUUAAGGAAUUGAGUUUGCGUGGCAGAGAUUAAACAUGUAAGGAAGGAAAAGCUGCUAGUUUAAGAACUGAACCCUUCCUCUCCCUGGGCAUCUAAUUGAUUGUGUGGAAGCUGCCCACACGCAGCACUGUACACUGCUGGAAGCUGCUGAUCCUCUCUCCAAGCUGGCUUGGCUCAGCGGGAGCUCCCACAUCCUCCCAAUGUCCUGACAACUGGCUUCGUGCUUACGGGGUGAGCUGUCUGCCCCACGCACGUCCUCAAGUCAAAUCAUAACCUGUAGUAAAUCAGGUGUCAGUGUGAAUGUCUGGACAGUUUGAAAGAGGGAAAGGUGCUGAUUUGCAACAUAAUGGGUAAAUUGAUAAUUAGGCCAGCCAAAGAGCAGCACAAAGCUGAGUACCUUAAUUCCACAGCAAAGAGCAGCAGGAGCUGCAUCCCCAGUCUGCAGUGUCUGCCCGGAAUCAAAAAGAGAAGAUUGAAAAAACAAAGGUGGAAAAUCAGGUGCUAUAAAUAGUGCUGCCUUACAGAAGUAUAAUGGUGUUUCAUCAUGCAGAGCCAAAAGGAUGUUGGUGGAAGACCUGAGCAGCCCUGCAGGGGGACAGAGAAACUUCCAGACCCUACUAAUGCAGUUGUAUCUAGAGGGCCAAUACGAAGCUGGAAUCCUGAUCUGCUGGAUAGAUGUGUGCAUUUAGCCCAAGAAAACUGUUCAUUGCUCUGUGUGUGUUUACUCUUUACCCUCUCUCCCUUCCCAGCAAUCUGUUCUGCCUCCCUCAGCUGGAAAUCAGGCAGAGUGGUUGCCACUUGUGCCUCCUGUCCAGCUGCAAGUGCUUUGCUGACUACCAGUUGCUUGUGGAAUAGAGUGGGGACUCUUCUAUUCAGCAGAAAAACAGCAGCAGUGGUAACAUUUCCUGUGCACGGAAACUCAGCACAGCCCUUGCAGAAUAUUUUGGAAUACUGUCAUCUGGACAGCCUUGUCAGUCCACACUGUAUCUGGAGCAAUCAGAACUGGAGAGCUGACACAUUACCUAGUGGCAUUUACAGAAAAGGAAAUCUACUGCUCUGCAUCAAGGAGCAGUGUGCUUCUUCAGAAUGGAUAUAAGGGAAGUCACUCAUAAAAUUACACAGAAAUGCCUUAAAGCUUGUGUUAUACGUGGCUUCACACAGAUCCAGGACAUUAAGGCUGGCAUCUGAACUAAUUUUGUUUCUUGUUUUAAUUUUUAUGAAUGAUGUUAAAAUACGUUGUAUGUUCUUACCUGAAUCUCAUUGUCACCCCUUAGAUGUUGCACAAACCUCAGCAUGAAGAGGGGCCUGCAAAUCAAAUCUCUUGGUUUGCUUUGUAAAGAAGCCUUUGCUUUGUAAAUCCUGCUAUUGACCACGUUACUCUCUCAAGCAUUGCAGGGAUUUCCUGGAAGAAAAAACAAUUUAAUUCAACACUGUGUAUAAUUUGUUUAUAAU
Molecule: long non-coding RNA, 2140 nt
Organism: Hirundo rustica (Barn swallow)
Lineage: Eukaryota; Metazoa; Chordata; Aves; Passeriformes; Hirundinidae
Exons: 6
Source: RefSeq, a predicted model, not a curated record